This 497-nucleotide ribosomal RNA is filed under the name uncultured bacterium. RNAcentral's name for it is "partial 16S ribosomal RNA". It matches the Rfam family "Bacterial small subunit ribosomal RNA", at positions 28 to 507 of the family's 1533-position model. The record is from RNAcentral.
GAUGAACGCUGGCGGCGUGCCUAAUACAUGCCAGUCGAGCGAACGGACGAGAAGCUUGCUUCUCUGGUGUUAGCGGCGGACGGGUGAGUAACACGUGGAUAACCUACCUAUAAGACUGGGAUAACUUCGGGAAACCGGAGCUAAUACCGGAUAAUAUUUUGAACCGCAUGGUUCAAAGGUGAAAGACGGUCUUGCUGUCACUUAUAGAUGGAUCCGCGCUGCAUUAGCUAGUUGGUAAGGUAACGGCUUACCAAGGCAACGAUGCAUAGCCGACCUGAGAGGGUGAUCGGCCACACUGGAACUGAGACACGGUCCAGACUCCUACGGGAGGCAGCAGUAGGGAAUCUUCCGCAAUGGGCGAAAGCCUGACGGAGCAACGCCGCGUGAGUGAUGAAGGUCUUCGGAUCGUAAAACUCUGUUAUUAGGGAAGAACAUAUGUGUAAGUAACUGUGCACAUCUUGACGGUACCUAAUCAGAAAGCCACGGCUAACUACGUG